Non-coding RNA from Oryzias latipes (Japanese medaka), 922 nucleotides. The record is from RefSeq and is a predicted model, not a curated record. NCBI's taxonomy places the organism in Eukaryota, Metazoa, Chordata, Actinopteri, Beloniformes, Adrianichthyidae.
UAUCUUUGCAGUCUAGUUUAAUAAGUUAUUUCAGAUAAUAGCACAGAGUCAUAUGUGAACACUUUGUGAAUCUACUCAGGUUAUAAUUACACCAGAGCGUUCUGGCUAAAGGCCUUCAUCUAGGUUUCGAAUGAGGAGGGCAAAACAACCACCAAUCAAACACGGCCCCGUACAUACCAGCGAGACGACAUCAGGUGAUAGAUCAGUUUCACGCCGUCCUUAUUUAAAGUGUUGUUUGUUGUGUGCUUUAUGGUGCCUCUUAGAAAGGCCACACUCCAAAAUGUGCUAGCCUAAUAAUAAAUCUACUGGAUGCAUGCAUGCACGCUGGAGGUCUGACCCCGUCACACUUAUGGCUUCUGUGGGAUUGUCAGUGAAGGGGAUAUUGCACCAGCAAAGCCAUGGCAGAAAAGGCAAAAAUCAGAUUGAGUGGGACUCUUAAAAACUAAUUUAGAGAUGCGUUUUCUGUGGAAUGUUGCACAUUUGGACUGGUAGUCUGACAAACAGUUUAAAAAGCAACCGCGCUGUCUGGAUUCCUGAGUGACAGCCUGAACACUGCUGUAAUUCCCAAGAUUCAACUCACAAACACACCUGGAUCGCUGAAAGUUAAGAGCUGUGGGGAUUAGUCUGCAUUCGGAUCUUGACACGCCUGGUGGGAGACACUCGCGCAGCCUGGAGGGUCUGGUUACAGCACGAGCCUGGGCCACAAAAGCAGGUCUGGAAUCUAAAUCAGGAGGCAGUAAUCCUUUGCCAUUGAGUGAAACGGAGGGACACUGGGAUGCAUGCUGUUGCAGGCAGUUGCAUCUUGGGAAAUUCAAAGCAAGAAGCCUUCACUUUAAUCCUGGACAGGCUAUUAGUUUUUGAUUUAGAUAAAAUCAAAAUUCUACAUCUGAGUUGAAAGAAAUAAAACAUGGAUUCUGUGAAA